Molecule: long non-coding RNA, 2163 nt
Organism: Neofelis nebulosa (Clouded leopard)
Lineage: Eukaryota; Metazoa; Chordata; Mammalia; Carnivora; Felidae
Exons: 3
Source: RefSeq, a predicted model, not a curated record
GAGCGCGCCGUAGAGAGGGUAUGGUGUCCAGCAACCUGCCUCGGAGACUCCCUAAUGCACCAGAGGCCUUGCUCAGCACACUGCCGACACGCUAAAAAUAUACACCAGCCUUCAAAGGGCCUUGCCUUCCCAGCACUGGCCACAGCUCCUCCUAGGCCCCACCGAAUGGCACGGGCCAGCGGAGGCCUUGGAAGUAGUCACAGGAGACAGUGCCACCGCGUGGAAAUGGCGGGAAUCGCUGCUGGUCCUCGAGGAACUCAAUAGUCUAGGGAAAGGGCCUUCUGUUCAUUCAUCCAGCAGUCACGCCCUGGGGGCCCCCUGCUGGCCGGCGCUGGCCUAGGGCUGCGAAGAUGAAAGGCCCUAUCUGUUCAGUCUAGUAGAGGGGAGGGCGACGAAGAAGGAACUGGAAAGGGACAUGCACUGCAGCAGGAGCAAGCCGAUUGUGGGAGCCCGCAGGAAGCACCAGGCAGCUCAUAAGAGGCCCUUCAACCACCAUCAUCUAUGCAGAGCAUGAACCGAACCGUGUCCAGGCACAGGAGUACAGCCUAACAAGACUGAACUUAGCACUGCAGUGAGACAGUAGGAAAAUAGCUGAACUUCCAAGAAGAGUCUCCUUGCUUUUACCUGGAGUGGCACCACCCUGGACAUCAGGUGAUCAAAAUAAAGGUCCACUGCUUCGGUGAAGCCCUUUCUCCAAAGGCCAUGAGAGAAACCCAGCAAGAGACGCUGGAGGAGCCAAGACAUUCAAGAGAGUUGGAGAGAAAGAACCUCAGCUAGGCCAACAUGGCAGAGAAGUAGGGGGACCCAUACUUCCUGCCACUCUCAAACAAAGAAGUGCAGAAGCCAAAGGACUUUGAACACCAGAGCCUGGGAGGAAAAGAGACUGAAUCUACUAGGAAGAAAAUGGGGAAGCUGGAAAGAAGAUAGGUGGGUAACUGCAAACUGGGGGAGAUAAAAAACAGCCACAUGGGCACGGAGUGGAGGCACCCCCUUCAACGGAGAGACAAAGGGAAAAGAAAGAGCGGCUAGGGAAGUGCAGGACCGUAUCUGGACAGGAGAAAGACCGGGGACUGAGACUGAGAGGGAUCCGAUCUCUAACUGCAGGGCUUUCUUUGGACUGGAGCUGGCUCUCUGUUGGUGCACCUGGAGAGGAGGGGAGCCUGGGUGUGGUGGUAGGUCAGGGGCUCAGUCCUCAGUUGGAGGAAGUGGUUCCCUCCCUGGAGGGCUAUGUGAUAUUACAGAAUCUGCCUGUGUCCGCCACUCCUGGGCACAGUGGCUGGGCCAAGGGUGCAGUCUGCAGGAGGAAAAGGCUGCCAUCUCUCUGGAGUGCUGUGGGAAAAGACAAAGCCUGCCUGUGUCUGCCACCCCGGGGGCUCAUGGCGAAGGUGGUGGCUCUUGGUCCCCAGUAGGAGAAGGCUGUCCUCCCUGAAGUGUAGGGGCACAGACAAAGCUAGCCAGGAGCACAUAUCCGCCUCACUGAGAGGCGCUUCCCCGGUGCCAGAGUGCACAGAGUGGGACUUUGAAUCCUAGUCAAGCACAGGGUCACAGGAGUUGGUGGAGCGAGAAGGACCUCCCCACCUGUGCCCUCGGCACAAUAAGGACGACUCAAACAGAGUCCAUCGGGUCCAGCUCCGUGGAGAAGAGACUGGGGGAUCACCAUUCCACACACCCCCACCACCAAGGUGGGGCCUCAGGGAUCAGUACUGGGGCCUAGAGUGGAGGUGGGUCCAUAUUAUGACAAACCAUGCCCCUUUGUGCUGGGUAACUGCGUAUCCACCACAGCAGCACAGACCCUGCAGACAGCUACUCCCGACAAGCGACACAGCAUUGCCUGGAUUAACUCUAGGUCAAUUCUGGAUAUAUAGAUAUAUUCUCCAUUCCCCACCCCCCCAUUUCUCCUCCUUAUCUCUUCCAUGCCCUAGGCUGGUUACUCUGGUUACUGUCUGUCUAAACAGACAUAUUUAAUCCAUUGUCUUGAUACAUGUUCUACACCUCCUUAUUUACACUCCUUUCUCUCUCUCUGGAAUAAUCAAGCAAUAUAGUUUCUCUGUCUGGGUAACUUUAUCUGUUUCCUUUUCCCUGCCUCCUUCUUUAUUUUCCUUUCUCUCCAUCUGGAUUAAGCCUUUUACCUCUCUGUCUAAUCAAUGUUUGUCUUUUCUCCCC